UACAAGCUGUGAUGAUGAUGACCUUUGCGUCAUGUUGCUGAAAAUUCAUGAGGCUUUUUGUCACUACCUCAUCUGAGCUUGUG
Molecule: small nucleolar RNA, 83 nt
Organism: Cyprinus carpio carpio
Lineage: Eukaryota; Metazoa; Chordata; Actinopteri; Cypriniformes; Cyprinidae
Source: Ensembl